This 484-nucleotide ribosomal RNA is filed under the name uncultured bacterium. RNAcentral's name for it is "bacterial SSU rRNA". It matches the Rfam family "Bacterial small subunit ribosomal RNA", at positions 30 to 507 of the family's 1533-position model. The record is from RNAcentral.
AUUGAACGCUGGCGGCAUGCCUUACACAUGCAAGUCGAACGGCAGCACGGGAGCAAUCCUGGUGGCGAGUGGCGAACGGGUGAGUAAUACAUCGGAACGUGCCCAAUAGUGGGGGAUAGCCCGGCGAAAGCCGGAUUAAUACCGCAUACGACCUGAGGGUGAAAGCGGGGGAUCGCAAGACCUCGCGCUAUUGGAGCGGCCGAUGUCAGAUUAGCUAGUUGGUGGGGUAAAGGCCUACCAAGGCUACGAUCUGUAGUUGGUCUGAGAGGACGACCAGCCACACUGGGACUGAGACACGGCCCAGACUCCUACGGGAGGCAGCAGUGGGGAAUUUUGGACAAUGGGCGCAAGCCUGAUCCAGCAAUGCCGCGUGCAGGAAGAAGGCCUUCGGGUUGUAAACUGCUUUUGUCAGGGAAGAAAUCUUCUGAGUUAAUACCUCGGGAGGAUGACGGUACCUGAAGAAUAAGCACCGGCUAACUACGUG